CUGGGCUGCUGAGUGCUGGGAAUACCACAAGCCAAGCAGGCUGCCUGAUGUGAAGAGAGCAGUGUGCUCUGUGACCUGGCUGUGACAGGGUGUGCAGGGGAGCUGAGCUCAGCAUGCGUGUUUGCAUGCACGAGUUCUCAAGAAUUCUGGCUCUUCCCCUGGGGAGAAUGCUCUUCGCUCGCCUUUUUCACUUCAGAAGGAAUAAUUACCAAUGUUUGUGGGUUUUCUUCAUUUGAGGACAAAACAAGAAGAAUUAUUAUCACAGACAGUAGUAUAUUUCUUCCCAUCUACCUGGACUGAUGAGAAUUCAUUUUUUUUGCUUGGACAACAUUUUAAAAAGACAAAAAAUUCAGCCAAUACAAUCAGCAAAAUCCUUCUCCUUCAUUAACUAAGUGCCCAAGAGACAAAUGGACAAAAGGUAGGUUCCUGUAUUCAAGGGGAGGUUGCAGAUUAAAUGAUGCAAUAAAUUUACCCCUGGGCUAGAAGCAAAUUUUCUUCUAGCAUAAAAGUCACCUUUUACAUUGGAAUACGUUGGAAUCUUUACAGGGCACAGGAUAAAAUGAUGGGGAGUAGCUCCUAAGAGCUAUGGGUAAUAUCAUGCAGAAGUGGUGAUGUUUUUCACUCUGUCACUGGAAACAGGCUGCAGGGGCUGCAGUCAUCCAGGUGGAGAGGAGAAGCUCCCUAAAAUGACAGGUUGUCUUUAAAUACUUGAAGUUUAGUAUGAACUAGUUGGCUUGCAACUAAAUCCCAUGGAAUGUUGUGCACAGUUAAACUGCUAAAACUCAUUAUUACAAA
This is a non-coding RNA of Cyanistes caeruleus (blue tit), 795 nucleotides long. The record is from RefSeq and is a predicted model, not a curated record. NCBI's taxonomy places the organism in Eukaryota, Metazoa, Chordata, Aves, Passeriformes, Paridae.